RNAcentral lists this ribosomal RNA (433 nucleotides) under uncultured bacterium. RNAcentral's name for it is "bacterial SSU rRNA". It matches the Rfam family "Bacterial small subunit ribosomal RNA", at positions 957 to 1391 of the family's 1533-position model. The record is from RNAcentral.
GAACGCGAAGAACCUUACCAGGUCUUGACAUCCCUCUGACCGCUCUAGAGAUAGAGCUUUCCUUCGGGACAGAGGUGACAGGUGGUGCAUGGUUGUCGUCAGCUCGUGUCGUGAGAUGUUGGGUUAAGUCCCGCAACGAGCGCAACCCCUAUUGUUAGUUGCCAUCAUUCAGUUGGGCACUCUAGCGAGACUGCCGGUAAUAAACCGGAGGAAGGUGGGGAUGACGUCAAAUCAUCAUGCCCCUUAUGACCUGGGCUACACACGUGCUACAAUGGCUGGUACAACGAGUCGCGAGUCGGUGACGGCAAGCUAAUCUCUUAAAGCCAGUCUCAGUUCGGAUUGUAGGCUGCAACUCGCCUACAUGAAGUCGGAAUCGCUAGUAAUCGCGGAUCAGCACGCCGCGGUGAAUACGUUCCCGGGUCUUGUACACACC